CCUGCGGGUGGCUGCAGUGGGGAAUAUUGGACAAUGGGGGCAACCCUGAUCCAGCCAUGCCGCGUGUGUGAAGAAGGCCCUCGGGUUGUAAAGCACUUUCAGUGAGGAAGAACGCCUGGUGGUUAAUACCCAUCAGGAAAGACAUCACUCACAGAAGAAGCACCGGCUAACUCCGUGCCAGCAGCCGCGGUAAUACGGAGGGUGCGAGCGUUAAUCGGAAUUACUGGGCGUAAAGCGCGCGUAGGUGGCUUGAUAAGCCGGUUGUGAAAGCCCCGGGCUCAACCUGGGAACGGCAUCCGGAACUGUCAAGCUAGAGUGCAGGAGAGGAAGGUAGAAUUCCCGGUGUAGCGGUGAAAUGCGUAGAGAUCGGGAGGAAUACCAGUGGCGAAGGCGGCCUUCUGGACUGACACUGACACUGAGGUGCGAAAGCGUGGGUAGCAAACAGGAUUAGAUACCCUGGUAGUC
RNAcentral lists this ribosomal RNA (465 nucleotides) under Vreelandella stevensii. RNAcentral describes it as "partial 16S ribosomal RNA". It matches the Rfam family "Bacterial small subunit ribosomal RNA", at positions 338 to 795 of the family's 1533-position model. The record is from RNAcentral. Lineage: Bacteria; Pseudomonadati; Pseudomonadota; Gammaproteobacteria; Oceanospirillales; Halomonadaceae.